GGAAGUAAAAGUCGUAAACAAGGUUUCCGUAGGUGAACCUGCGGAGGGAUCAUUACAAGUUGACCCCGGCCCUCGGGCCGGGAUGUUCACAACCCUUUGUUGUCCGACUCUGUUGCCUCCGGGGCGACCCUGCCUCCGGGCGGGGGCCCCGGGUGGACAUUUCAAUCUCUUGCGUAACUUUGCAGUCUGAGUAAAUUUAAUUAAUAAAUUAAAACUUUCAACAACGGAUCUCUUGGUUCUGGCAUCGAUGAAGAACGCAGCGAAAUGCGAUAAGUAAUGUGAAUUGCAGAAUUCAGUGAAUCAUCGAAUCUUUGAACGCACAUUGCGCCCCCUGGUAUUCCGGGGGGCAUGCCUGUUCGAGCGUCAUUUCACCACUCAAGCCUCGCUUAGUAUUGGGCGACGCGGUCCGCCGCGCGCCUCAAAUCGACCGGCUGGGUCUUUCGUCCCCUCAGCGUUGUGGAAACUAUUCGCUAAAGGGUGCCGCGGGAGGCCACGCCGUGAAACAACCCCAUUUCUAAGGUUGACCUCGGAUCAGGUAGGGAUACCCGCUGAACUCAAGCAUAUCAAUAAGCGGAGGAAAAGAAACCAACAGGGAUUGCC
Molecule: ribosomal RNA, 600 nt
Filed under: uncultured Ascomycota
Lineage: Eukaryota; Fungi; Ascomycota
Description: partial 18S ribosomal RNA
Rfam family: 5.8S ribosomal RNA (bases 213-366)
Source: RNAcentral